RNAcentral lists this ribosomal RNA (237 nucleotides) under Klebsiella pneumoniae. RNAcentral's name for it is "partial 23S ribosomal RNA". It matches the Rfam family "Bacterial large subunit ribosomal RNA", at positions 2025 to 2261 of the family's 2925-position model. The record is from RNAcentral. Lineage: Bacteria; Pseudomonadati; Pseudomonadota; Gammaproteobacteria; Enterobacterales; Enterobacteriaceae.
CCCGAGACUCAGUGAAAUUGAACUCGCUGUGAAGAUGCAGUGUACCCGCGGCAAGACGGAAAGACCCCGUGAACCUUUACUAUAGCUUGACACUGAACAUUGAGCCUUGAUGUGUAGGAUAGGUGGGAGGCUUUGAAGCGUGGACGCCAGUCUGCGUGGAGCCAACCUUGAAAUACCACCCUUUAAUGUUUGAUGUUCUAACGUUGGCCCCUGACCGGGGUUGCGGACAGUGUCUGG